GUAGCUAACGCAUUAAGUUCCCCGCCUGGGGAGUACGGCCCGCAAGGCUAAAACUCAAAGGAAUUGACGGGGGCCCGCACAAGCGGCGGAGCAUGCGGAUUAAUUCGAUGCAACGCGAAGAACCUUACCAAGGCUUGACAUAGCCGAGAACGCUGUAGAGAUACAGAACUCUUUGGACACUCGGUUACAGGUGGUGCAUGGUUGUCGUCAGCUCGUGUCGUGAGAUGUUCGGUUAAGUCCGGCAACGAGCGCAACCCUCGUCCUAUGUUGCCAGCACGUUAUGGUGGGAACUCAUGGGAUACUGCCGUGGUCAACACGGAGGAAGGUGGGGAUGACGUCAAGUCAUCAUGCCCCUUAUGUCUUGGGCUUCACGCAUGCUACAAUGGCCGAUACAAAGGGCUGCGAUACCGCGAGGUGGAGCGAAUCCCAAAAAGUCGGUCUCAGUUCGGAUUGGGGUCUGCAACUCGACCCCAUGAAGUCGGAGUCGCUAGUAAUCGCAGAUCAGCAACGCUGCGGUGAAUACGUUCCCGGGCCUUGUACACACCGCCCGUCAAGUCAUGAAAGUCGGUAACACCCGAAGCCGGUGGCCUAACCCUUGUGGAGGGAGCCGUCGAAGGUGGGACUGGUGAUUAGGACU
RNAcentral lists this ribosomal RNA (637 nucleotides) under uncultured bacterium. Its description in RNAcentral is "bacterial SSU rRNA". It matches the Rfam family "Bacterial small subunit ribosomal RNA", at positions 848 to 1482 of the family's 1533-position model. The record is from RNAcentral.